This 63-nucleotide transfer RNA is filed under the name Chrysomeloidea sp. 4 KM-2017. RNAcentral's name for it is "tRNA-His". Lineage: Eukaryota; Metazoa; Arthropoda; Insecta; Coleoptera. The record is from RNAcentral.
AUUUGAGUAGUUUAUUUAAAAUAUCAAUUUGUGGAAUUGUGGAAGCUUUAUAAGCCUCAGAUA